Molecule: long non-coding RNA, 1310 nt
Organism: Peromyscus maniculatus bairdii (prairie deer mouse)
Lineage: Eukaryota; Metazoa; Chordata; Mammalia; Rodentia; Cricetidae
Source: RefSeq, a predicted model, not a curated record
GGCGGGCGCGCAGGACCAGGCGGGGGAUGCUGCCCUGGCGGAGGCGGGGCGGGGGCCUCCACGUGGGUGGGGCUGGGCGCCCCCGAGGGCCGUGGCCGCGGGGCGCUGGUAGCUCGCCCGCCCCUCCGCCGGGUACCCCUCCCGCCCGGGGCUUCUGCCUGGACCGCGGCUGCAGCCGCCUCUUCCCGGAGGCCUCAGAGUUCGUCCCGGUCUCGCCGUUGGGAACGUGGACACGCAGGAGCCUGGAUGCAGAAGGGCGCGCGGGAGCCUGGAGCUGCAGCGCGAACCGCAGCCCUGCGUCCAGGCCGCACCACUCUCUCCUGAUCCCGAGGAAGGGCCACGGGGAACCCUGCGCGCGGGCGGCGGCCUGAGAGCUGGCGCGGGCCUUGGCGCUAGAAAAUGGAUCCUGCUCCCGGAGAGGCGGGCCAGUGCCCCGCUCCUGCUUCCCGGAGAAUUAGCUCGGCGGUGUGCGUGGCCGGGGAGGGAGGGAAAGGCCUUGGGGCGACUAGCCGGGCGGGGAGUGGCUUCUGGGGGGCUCCCUCGCCCACGGAGGGCCCGCGAGACUGCCCUCGGAGCGCCGCCAGCCGCAGCUGAGUCAGAAGUGCCCCCACUGUCUUACCUGAUAAUGGGAUUUUACGCGGUCUGCUAAGGGUGGCUUCGUGAGACGACCAUUUCAGAAGAGGAAAGGGGCCUCUGGCCGGUGGGGUAAAAACCCCCAUGGAAUGAAAAGCACUCCCAGCCGCUUUGCGCAAGAUUGCAAAGUAAGGUGGGUUUUGUUUUUUGUUGUGUGUUGGUUUGUUCCAUCCCCUCCUCCCUGUAAAUUAGAACAAAAGGCCCCCAAGCGAGCAGGACCUGGCGGACGUUUGGAAGCCGCGAGUGGAAUGAAUCUCGUUAUAAAAACUCCGGGACCCCAGGCACAGCUACUGUCUGUCUGCAUCGCAGUUUGGGUGGAGGAAGAACGUGACUCCCCUGCCCAGAGGCGGGUUGGGCACCGAUUUCGCCGUGGAGAGGAGGGUCCCGGUGUUGGGGAAGGCCCCUCUUUCUGGGACCGCGGGAGCCCUAACUGGCCCCCCUCCGGAGGGAGACCCGGGCGUCCGGCUGCCGCGCGGCGCUCGGCCGGUAGUCCCGCUUCCACCAAAACGCGGGGCUUCGUUUCUCUCAAAAUAAAACUCAACAAGCCAUAAAGCCUCCCGACGCCGAUGGAGAAGGCGCCGCGGAUUUAUGGCUCCCCUGAAUUCCCCACUCUCUAAUUAUCCCUGUUUUUAGUUGACUUAUGGGUAGUGACCAAUAAAAUCAUUUUCUACUUCGGA